ACUGACAUUCAUGUGUUGCAUGUGUAUUCAUGUGCUUCCCAGUGUGGAUCUCUCUGAAGUUAGACUAAAUGUUGAGUGCAUCUGGACUCUUACCAGGAUACUGGAACAGGUGUGUCAGAUCAGAAGUCCCAUUCAUUCAAUCAGAAAAAGUCAUGCAUGCUGGCAUUUGGACUCCCUUCAUUCCUGGAAAGAAACAGUGAGAAGCAAUGAGAAACAUCAAGUGUAAAGCAUGUACCUGAAACAGAGUGAACAUUUGUUUUAAGAGCACAAAAGGUUACAUGUCCAGAUUUAAUGAACUUCUGCACAAGCAAUGCUCCUUUGAGUGUGUCUGGCAUGGAGUGCUACGUUGGAAUACUAGGCUUUGGCUCCCUCCAACCCUUUAAGCUUCCCACAGCCCAUGCAGAAGCUGAUGGCAUCCAUUUGCUGUUCCCUCUUGAAGUUGCAGAUCCAGCGCUGUCUUCUUACAACCAGAUGUGCACUGCAGAGUUUUGUGCUUCCCGGAGUGAGCCAUAGUGUGGCAGGCUGGAGCUGCGCUGGCCUCAGCCUUCGUCUUGCUCUCAACAUCGAGGAAUGGCUUCAGUUUAUUCCAGCAUACGUGUCUACAUGAGACCGUCAUGUGCUAAAACCGUGACCAUCAUUUGUGAUAGAAGAGAACUUGCUGUUAUGUAAUACAUCAUUAAAGCUAGAAAUUUUUGGGAUACCAUCCAGCUGAUUUAACACUAUGAACACUGAAAAAGCCAUUAGAAACGCUGAGUGCAUCAGUUCAGUGGAACCCAAAAUACUGAGCUCUGUGAAUACUCCACCAGCUACAGAACAGGCUGCCUGGCUCUCUGACCACAGACUGCAAAACUCUGAGCAGCAAAUAGCACUUAGAUGCUCAGUUAGAAUGGACAACAUCAGCAAUUGAAUGAAAGUUUGAUACAGAAAAACUGAAUUAGAGAGGAAGAUGGAAAGAUUUCUUUUUAGGAGUCCUCACAGGAAGAUACUGCAAGAAGUCUGCAAUAACAAGGGAGAAAUCACCACACUAGUUUCUAUAUAGCAAGAUGAUCUUCAAGAAAAGUUGGAUUUAUAAACCAAAUAAAAAUAUACCUUGAAAAGCAGACAUAGAAGUUCAACAUCAAAAGAAAGAAAAAAAAGAAUCCACAAUGAACUCAGGAAUAAGAUUUUCUUAUGUGAUCUUAAGAACAGUAAUGAAGAAGGAAAUUCAGUAUAAUCUGUAUUUCUGUUUUGGAUUUUGAAAACAUUGCCUUAUAAGCUAAGAAACCUUGAAGUAUAUUAAAAUAUAUUACUUUUACUCCUUCUCUAGAAAUACAUGGCAUUGAAAGAUCUCAAAUGUGAAGUAAUUUUUAUUCUGUAAAAAAAAA
Non-coding RNA from Meleagris gallopavo (turkey), 1364 nucleotides. The record is from RefSeq and is a predicted model, not a curated record. Lineage: Eukaryota; Metazoa; Chordata; Aves; Galliformes; Phasianidae.